RNAcentral lists this long non-coding RNA (424 nucleotides) under Citrus x clementina. Its description in RNAcentral is "Citrus clementina (C. clementina) long non-coding RNA (CCLE_LNC001408)". Lineage: Eukaryota; Viridiplantae; Streptophyta; Magnoliopsida; Sapindales; Rutaceae. The record is from RNAcentral.
GUAAAUUAGACACGGGUCGAUCAUCAGAUGGAACUAUGGAUCUUUUUAGGUUUGCUUUAAUGCAUUGCCAAAUAAUUGAUGGCUAAGCUUCAAUUCUUUCAUGAAACUUCUUCUUGCCAGUUUGAAGGAAUCUUAGAACCUUUAUUUUGGGUAUGAUCACAUUUGAUUCUUGAAUUCUAUUUUUCCACAAGCCAGUUUUGAAGGAAUCUUAGAACCUUUAUUUUGGGUCACAUUUCAUUCUUGAAUUCCAUUUUUCCACAAGCCAUGUGUAAUGUUUUUCUUUUGCAUCAUAAGUACAUCAUCAAGAACGGCCAUAAUAAAAUCACUUUGGUGAGAUUCCAGGAUUUAUCUCACUUUUGCUCUAUGGAGAUAUCAGUUUCUGUUGAUUAUUUUUGGCCAAAUAAAAGAUGAUGUUAUAUUGUCA